UGAACAUCUUCCAAUUUUCAAACAGACCCUCUGCAAAGUUGUCAUUUCAAGAAGAUGAAGACGAAUUUCCAGUAAAAAAAGAAUGUGAGGACAUCAUCACAAGGGAUGCCACUCCUGCCAACUCCUCCUUUGUUUCCCACAGCAGCAUCAUGCAGCAGCAGCAGUGAAGAUAGAAUAUCACCAGCAAUGGGAACAGGGACAGUGACAAGAGCACCCAGCUCCCUCUAUCAGCUGCAGCCAAUAAAUCUUCUAUCAAGGAAUCAGAGACAGAGGCCAUGAUGAGGAGCUGGCUGAAGUACAAUGGAGAUAGGGAUGGGGAGCAGAAGAGGGCAGAAAAAAAAAACAAUGCUGAACCUGCAAAUGCUGCUGCAAGUACUGAUGGUACUGCUGCCAGUGACAGUGAAGAAGAUUAAGAUAUUGUUUGAUCCAUCUUUCUGCAUUCUAGAAACAUAUUUGCAUACAAUUAAUCUUAAUAAAUACUCUUAAAUGCAAAGCUAGUAAUGACAAAAAGGGCUUGAUGUUCUUUACCUUUUAAUUAACUUUUCAAUUGCUGAAACACUAUUAGUUUGUUCAAGGCCUGCAAACCAGAGGCUUAUUACACCCACAGACAAACAUACAACAGACACAUGGCACAGGAGACCUGACCUGUCACUGCUCAAUACAGUACUUGGCAACAGAGUUAAAAUCUCCUGACCAUAAAUCAGCCCAGGCGCACCCCACUUCAUGAUAAAUGACUAGAUAAGCCUCCACUGUCUUGGGAUCAAGGAACACAGCCAAAGCACACCCUGUUCUUGUUCUCAUUUAACCCUGUAGUGGUAAUCCCCAAGGCUGAUUUUAUAAGCUCUGUAAUAUGACAAUGAUAACCACUGACUAUUUACUAGCUCCAAAACUUUCACUGAAGAGAUUUAGGACAGGACAGAUCAGAAAACUUUCAACUGAAACAGAAAAUGCAAAUUUUAAAAUCUUAUCAGAUAAGUUGGAUUAGCUUGUUCCUAUUUUAAAUUUACC
Long non-coding RNA from Polyodon spathula (Mississippi paddlefish), 1008 nucleotides. RefSeq lists it as uncharacterized. The record is from RefSeq and is a predicted model, not a curated record. The transcript has 3 exons. NCBI's taxonomy places the organism in Eukaryota, Metazoa, Chordata, Actinopteri, Acipenseriformes, Polyodontidae.